UUGCUUUUGAUUAUUUUAGCGGCGGACGGGUGAGUAACGUGUGGGUAACCUGCCUUUUACUGGGGAAUAAUCGUUGGAAACGACGACUAAUACCGCAUACGGUUCUUGGAAGGCAUCUUCUAAGAAAGAAAGGAUUUAUUCGGUAAAAGAUGGGCCCGCAUCUGAUUAGCUAGUUGGUGAGAUAAUAGCCCACCAAGGCAACGAUCAGUAGCCGACCUGAGAGGGUGACCGGCCACAUUGGGACUGAGACACGGCCCAAACUCCUACGGGAGGCAGCAGUGGGGAAUAUUGCACAAUGGGCGAAAGCCUGAUGCAGCAACGCCGCGUGAAGGAAGACGGUUUUCGGAUUGUAAACUUCUAUCAAUAGGGAAGAAAGAAAUGACGGUACCUAAAUAAGAAGCCCCGGCUAACUACGUGCCAGCAGCCGCGGUAAUACGUAGGGGGCAAGCGUUAUCCGGAAUUACUGGGUGUAAAGGGAGAGUAGGCGGCAAGGUAAGCGAUAUGUGAAAGCCUUAGGCUUAACUUAAGGAUUGCAUAACGAACUAUCUAGCUAGAGUACAGGAGAGGAAAGCGGAAUUCCUAGUGUAGCGGUGAAAUGCGUAGAUAUUAGGAAGAACACCAGUGGCGAAGGCGGCUUUCUGGACUGAAACUGACGCUGAGGCUCGAAAGCGUGGGGAGCGAACAGGAUUAGAUACCCUGGUAGUCCACGCUGUAAACGA
This 719-nucleotide ribosomal RNA is filed under the name uncultured bacterium. Its description in RNAcentral is "bacterial SSU rRNA". It matches the Rfam family "Bacterial small subunit ribosomal RNA", at positions 76 to 809 of the family's 1533-position model. The record is from RNAcentral.